RNAcentral lists this ribosomal RNA (301 nucleotides) under uncultured bacterium. RNAcentral's name for it is "partial 16S ribosomal RNA". It matches the Rfam family "Bacterial small subunit ribosomal RNA", at positions 509 to 807 of the family's 1533-position model. The record is from RNAcentral.
CAGCAGCCGCGGGAAUACAGAGGAUGCAAGCGUUAUCCGGAAUGAUUGGGCGUAAAGCGUCUGUAGGUGGCUUUUCAAGUCCGCCGUCAAAUCCCAGGGCUCAACCGUGGACAGGCGGUGGAAACUACCAAGCUGGAGUACGGUAGGGGCAGAGGGAAUUUCCGAUGGAGCGGUGAAAUGCGUUGAGAUCGGAAAGAACACCAACGGAGAAAGCACUCUGCUGGGCCGACACUGACACUGAGAGACGAAAUCUAGGGGAGCAAAUGGGAUUAGAUACCCCCGUAGUCCCUGUCUCUUAUAC